AGGGGGGGGCCUAUACAUGCAGUCGAGCGACAGAUAAGGAGCUUGCUCCUUUGACGUUAGCGGCGGACGGGUGAGUAACACGUGGAUAACCUACCUAUAAGACUGGGAUAACUUCGGGAAACCGGAGCUAAUACCGGAUAACAUAUUGAACCGCAUGGUUCAAUAGUGAAAGGCGGCUUUGCUGUCACUUAUAGAUGGAUCCGCGCCGUAUUAGCUAGUUGGUAAGGUAACGGCUUACCAAGGCAACGAUACGUAGCCGACCUGAGAGGGUGAUCGGCCACACUGGAACUGAGACACGGUCCAGACUCCUACGGGAGGCAGCAGUAGGGAAUCUUCCGCAAUGGGCGAAAGCCUGACGGAGCAACGCCGCGUGAGUGAUGAAGGUCUUCGGAUCGUAAAACUCUGUUAUCAGGGAAGAACAAAUGUGUAAGUAACUGUGCACAUCUUGACGGUACCUGAUCAGAAAGCCACGGCUAACUACGUGCCAGCAGCCGCGGUAAUACGUAGGUGGCAAGCGUUAUCCGGAAUUAUUGGGCGUAAAGCGCGCGUAGGCGGUUUUUUAAGUCUGAUGUGAAAGCCCACGGCUCAACCGUGGAGGGUCAUUGGAAACUGGAAAACUUGAGUGCAGAAGAGGAAAGUGGAAUUCCAUGUGUAGCGGUGAAAUGCGCAGAGAUAUGGAGGAACACCAGUGGCGAAGGCGACUUUCUGGUCUGUAACUGACGCUGAUGUGCGAAAGCGUGGGGAUCAAACAGGAUUAGAUACCCUGGUAGUCCACGCCGUAAACGAUGAGUGCUAAGUGUUAGGGGGUUUCCGCCCCUUAGUGCUGCAGCUAACGCAUUAAGCACUCCGCCUGGGGAGUACGACCGCAAGGUUGAAACUCAAGGAAUUGACGGGGACCCGCACAAGCGGUGGAGCAUGUGGUUUAAUUCGAAGCACGCGAAGGACCUUACCAAAUCUUGACAUCCUUUGACUGCUCUAGAGAUAGAGUUUUCCCCUUCGGGGGACAAAGUGACAGGUGGUGCAUGGUUGUCGUCAGCUCGUGUCGUGAGAUGUUGGGUUAAGUCCCGCAACGAGCGCAACCCUUAAGCUUAGUUGCCAUCAUUAAGUUGGGCACUCUAAGUUGACUGCCGGUGACAAACCGGAGGAAGGUGGGGAUGACGUCAAAUCAUCAUGCCCCUUAUGAUUUGGGCUACACACGUGCUACAAUGGACAAUACAAAGGGCAGCUAAACCGCGAGGUCAAGCAAAUCCCAUAAAGUUGUUCUCAGUUCGGAUUGUAGUCUGCAACUCGACUACAUGAAGCUGGAAUCGCUAGUAAUCGUAGAUCAGCAUGCUACGGUGAAUACGUUCCCGGGUCUUGUACACACCGCCCGUCACACCACGAGAGUUUGUAACUACCCGAAGCCGGGUGGAGUAAACCAUUUUUAU
RNAcentral lists this ribosomal RNA (1427 nucleotides) under Staphylococcus pasteuri. RNAcentral's name for it is "bacterial SSU rRNA". It matches the Rfam family "Bacterial small subunit ribosomal RNA". The record is from RNAcentral. Lineage: Bacteria; Bacillati; Bacillota; Bacilli; Caryophanales; Staphylococcaceae.